This 305-nucleotide ribosomal RNA is filed under the name uncultured bacterium. RNAcentral's name for it is "bacterial SSU rRNA". It matches the Rfam family "Bacterial small subunit ribosomal RNA", at positions 337 to 635 of the family's 1533-position model. The record is from RNAcentral.
GCCUACGGGGGCAGCAGUAGGGAAUCUUCCACAAUGGGCGAAAGCCUGAUGGAGCAACGCCGCGUGGGUGAAGAAGGUCUUCGGAUCGUAAAACCCUGUUGUUAGAGAAGAAAGUGCGUGAGAGUAACUGUUCACGUUUCGACGGUAUCUAACCAGAAAGCCACGGCUAACUACGUGCCAGCAGCCGCGGUAAUACGUAGGUGGCAAGCGUUAUCCGGAUUUAUUGGGCGUAAAGGGAACGCAGGCGGUCUUUUAAGUCUGAUGUGAAAGCCUUCGGCUUGACCGGAGUAGUGCAUUGGAAACUG